GAUGAACGCUGGCGGCGUGCCUAAUACAUGCAAGUCGAGCGGACAGACGAGGAUCUUGCUCCGAUGACGUGAGGGACGGGCGGGUGAUGAACACGUGUAUGACCGGCCGUUGAGGCUGGCAUAAGGUCGGGAGCCCUGAUAUCACACACGAUAAGAUAGUGAACCGCGGGGAUCUUUGGUGAAAACCGUAUUUGCUGUCCCUAGGAGAUGUUUCCUCGCCGCAUUAGCUAGUUGGUAAGGUAACGGCCUACCAAGGCGACGAUGCGUAGCCGACCUGAGAGGGUGAUCGGCCACACUGGAACUGAGACACGGUCCAGACUCCUACGGGAGGCAGCAGUAGGGAAUAUUGCGCAAUGGGCGAAAGCCUGACGGAGCCACGCCGCGUGAGUGAUGAAGGUCUUCGGAUUGUAAAACACUGUUAGUUGGGAAGAACAAAUGUGUAAGUAUCUAUGCCCGUCUUGACGGUACCUACUGAGAAAGCCCCGGCUAACUACGUG
Molecule: ribosomal RNA, 497 nt
Filed under: uncultured bacterium
Lineage: Bacteria
Description: partial 16S ribosomal RNA
Rfam family: Bacterial small subunit ribosomal RNA
Source: RNAcentral